CAGAGGAGUAGAGCACAGAGGGCAGACACACUGCCUGACUGCACCCACAGACUCCUUUCAUUCAGCCUCCGUUAUGCAACAUGAGGUGCAUGUUCAGUUCACUCCCAUGCACAAGCAGAUCAGACUUAUGUAGGCUUUUAUCUUGAAAUAUCAUCUGUGAAUGUGUGUCAGUGCAGGUCUUCAGUCAAGCUGGAAAGAAAAAUAAUCAUUUUCUCUUUAACCAAAUCCAAACAAAGCUCCAGAGACUGAAAUCCACUUCUCACGCACUGCUUUCACCACACAGCUAGGGAAUACUUUCACCCUGUUAUUGCACUGAGCAGAACUUCUACAAAUAGAAGUUAUCUUUGUUUUCAUACUUUGGAGCUUGUUUAAGAGAAGACGGCAAAACAAUGUUAUCUCGUCACCUAAAUUGACCCUGUUGGACUUUUUAUGUAGGCUAACUAGGAUAAAACACAGCUUUCUGUUUCUUUCAAGCUCCUGGUGGUGAAGGGGGUCUUAACAGGAUGUAAAUGAUGUCAAAACAACACUUGUGUUGUCAGUCAGUGUGUUUUAAAUUCACAAUCAAGUCAAGCUCGGCUAGGCAGUUUAACUGGACUACUGUCCAGUGAGUGGCAACAUGCCUCCAUUCAGCUCGUUACUGUAGCAUCCUCUCCUGCUUAUUUAUUGCAUAUCAAAACAAUCAACAAUAUAUGACUCGUGACCCUCAGUCACAUGAUACAAGCCUAAUCACUCCACUAUCUUGCCUGGGGGCUUGUGGGAUAAAAACCUGGAUAAAAAUGGGGUUAAAAAAAUGACCCUUUAUGCAGCUGUCUCUCUUGAUAGAGUUCAGAGCUGAACAGUGAAACACUACAGGGUUUAUAUUUGUCUUAGUGUUGCUUUGAAAAAUGACCUCUGAUUGGAUUUUAUAUGGUGAUACUCUUAACACUUUCCAUCUUUGUGUUUUCUUUCUUACUAAUACUGGUGGAUGUGACAUGUAAUACAAAAAAGCUCUUUGAGUCUCCUGUAGGCUAGGAAAAAGUGCUUCUGUAAAUACAUUGCAUUCCUGUAUAUAUUUGUGACCCGAAGCCCAAUUUCUGUUUUUUCACAAACAGAGUCUUUCUGCUGAGAUUUGGCUGUAAUCUGAGAUGGUCCUACAGAACAGAGCACCCUUCUGUACACUAAUGUCAACACGUGGCCUUUAGGGUUUACAGCAUACGUGCAAGCAUAUUCAAAACUUUUAAGUUGAUGGGUUUCAGAGCCAAAAUAUUCCCACAUACAGGUUGUGUUUGCAUUUCUAUCCAUGAAUGUUCCAGACAGUCAAAGCUUUCCAAGAAGAGAGAUGAAACAAAAAGGCCUGUGAAAUAGAGCCCACUUCAUUUCACCCCCACCUCAUUUUCUCUUUCUAGUAAGGGAGACCUUUCGGCUUAUGUAAGAAGUCCCCCUGGGUGUGCUCCCACUCUCGCGGUCCCGCCUCCCACCAGCCAAUCAGGGUGCACCCUUUGACGGCCUGGGCCUCAGUGUUUUGUUCGUCAUCCUGCAACAAGAUUCACAUGGUGUGCAGCGGGCAGCUUACGUUGUACCAGGGCAGAAAGUAAGGGACAAGACAUAAAGAGGGCCGGGGGAGUGGGCGGCACAAGGUUAGGGGGGCUGGGCAGCGCUCCAAAAACGCCAUAACACUCUGUCUUGCAGCUGUUGUUCCACAGGGAGUCCUGUUGCCAUGGAAAUAAGGCCCCUGACCCCAACACUACCACCCUCCUC
This is a non-coding RNA of Xyrichtys novacula (pearly razorfish), 1737 nucleotides long. The record is from the annotation of a GenBank genome assembly. NCBI's taxonomy places the organism in Eukaryota, Metazoa, Chordata, Actinopteri, Labriformes, Labridae.